GCACAGAUGCCCGAGUGGUUAAGGGGGUGGACUUAAGAUCCACUGGUCAUACGACCGCGUGGGUUCGAACCCCACUCUGUGCA
Molecule: non-coding RNA, 83 nt
Organism: Condylostylus longicornis
Lineage: Eukaryota; Metazoa; Arthropoda; Insecta; Diptera; Dolichopodidae
Source: the annotation of a RefSeq genome assembly